CAGAGCUUCGAAGCCUGGAGGGUUUACUCUUCAGGCGAGAACUCCACCCUUUGUUUACAUUACCUUUGUUGCUUUAGCAGGCCCGCUCUCGGGCCGCCGGCAAUAGCUGGUCAGUGCCUGCUAGAGGACCUAAAACUCAUGUUAAUAAAGUAGUCUGAGUACUAUAUAAUAGUUA
This 175-nucleotide unclassified non-coding RNA is filed under the name uncultured Leotiomycetes. RNAcentral describes it as "sequence contains ITS1". Lineage: Eukaryota; Fungi; Ascomycota; Leotiomycetes. The record is from RNAcentral.